GAUGAACGCUAGCUACAGGCUUAACACAUGCAAGUCGAGGGGAAACGACAUCGAAAGCUUGCUUUUGAUGGGCGUCGACCGGCGCACGGGUGAGUAACGCGUAUCCAACCUGCCCAUCACUUGGGGAUAACCUUGCGAAAGUAAGACUAAUACCCAAUGAUAUCUCUAGAAGACAUCUGAAAGAGAUUAAAGAUUUAUCGGUGAUGGAUGGGGAUGCGUCUGAUUAGCUUGUUGGCGGGGUAACGGCCCACCAAGGCAACGAUCAGUAGGGGUUCUGAGAGGAAGGUCCCCCACAUUGGAACUGAGACACGGUCCAAACUCCUACGGGAGGCAGCAGUGAGGAAUAUUGGGCAAUGGGCGAGAGCCUGAACCAGCCAAGUAGCGUGCAGGAAGACGGCCCUAGGGGUGGUAAACUGCUUUUAGAAGGGAAUAAAGUGAGAGUCGUGACUCUUUUUGUAUGUACCUGAUGAAUAAGGACCGGCUAAUUCCGUG
This 492-nucleotide ribosomal RNA is filed under the name uncultured bacterium. RNAcentral describes it as "partial 16S ribosomal RNA". It matches the Rfam family "Bacterial small subunit ribosomal RNA", at positions 28 to 507 of the family's 1533-position model. The record is from RNAcentral.